UACGGAGGAUGCGAGCGUUAUCCGGAUUUAUUGGGUUUAAAGGGUGCGUAGGCGGAUUUUUAAGUCAGCGGUAAAAUGUCCGGGCUCAACCCGGGCCGGCCGUUGAAACUGGGGAUCUUGAGUGGGCGAGAAGUAUGCGGAAUGCGUGGUGUAGCGGUGAGAUGCAUAGAUAUCACGCAGAACUCCGAUUGCGAAGGCAGCAUACCGGCGCCCGACUGACGCUGAGGCACGAAAGCGUGGGGAUCGAACAGG
This 252-nucleotide ribosomal RNA is filed under the name uncultured bacterium. RNAcentral's name for it is "partial 16S ribosomal RNA". It matches the Rfam family "Bacterial small subunit ribosomal RNA", at positions 524 to 776 of the family's 1533-position model. The record is from RNAcentral.